This is a long non-coding RNA of Patiria miniata (bat star), 663 nucleotides long. RefSeq lists it as uncharacterized. Lineage: Eukaryota; Metazoa; Echinodermata; Asteroidea; Valvatida; Asterinidae. The transcript has 2 exons. The record is from RefSeq and is a predicted model, not a curated record.
GAUAGAGUAAACAUCCUGUCCAGAACAGAGACCCCCUUAUCUGUGAGACCAUGUGGUCCAUGCCUCAUUUUGCAGACUGGUAGAAGGCAGGGCAGCAUCAUUUAGUUUUGCUCUGCAGAUUCCCUUGAAAAUCUAUGGCUUUUCUACCCUGAAAGUUUGGUCUGCUGCUGGAUUCGGUUGUUUAAGCUGUUGUUUUCGAUUUAUGACCUUCUUUUGAUGCUGUAUUGGUUUUAAUUUUAGUUGGUUUUAAAUCUUAGGUUUUUAUUGUUGGUUUUAAUUUUAAAUCUUCGUUCUAGGUUUUAGUUGUUGGUUUCUUUAUUUUUUUAUCUGGUUUAUGGUUUUUGGUUGGUUUAUGACUUGAAGUGAUUGAGUUGUUUUUUUGUCUAUUGGUUCGUGUCAUUUUAGAUUUUUUUAGUCUAUUUUUGCUUCAUUUACUUAGUUUCAGUUGUGAUCAUUAUACUGAGUUUUUGGUUUAUAGCAGUUUUUUUAUCUUUAGGGAAAGUCAAAGGUCAUUUACAUUCGUUUGGUUAGGAGAACAUCAAGGUUGGUCAAGUGUCAGGUACAAAAUCGGUUGUUCUUCGAGUCUCAUAAUUUUAUUUUUGUUUAGUUUAUUUUUAAUUGUCGUUCAGGAGAAAUAAAUGCGUUCCAGUGAUAGCUCUUGAA